This 468-nucleotide ribosomal RNA is filed under the name uncultured bacterium. Its description in RNAcentral is "partial 16S ribosomal RNA". It matches the Rfam family "Bacterial small subunit ribosomal RNA", at positions 28 to 507 of the family's 1533-position model. The record is from RNAcentral.
GACGAACGCUGGCGGCGUGCUUAACACAUGCAAGUCGAACGGCAAGGCCCUGCUUUUGUGGGGUGCUCGAGUGGCGAACGGGUGAGUAACACGUGAGUAACCUGCCCUUGACUUUGGGAUAACUUCAGGAAACUGGGGCUAAUACCGUAUCGGAGCUCCUGCUGCAUGGUGGGGGUUGGAAAGUUUCGGCGGUUGGGGAUGGACUCGCGGCUUAUCAGCUUGUUGGUUGGGUAGUGGCUUACCAAGGCUUUGACGGGUAGCCGGCCUGAGAGGGUGACCGGCCACAUUGGGACUGAGAGACGGCCCAGACGCCUACGGGAGGCAGCAGUGGGGAAUAUUGCACAAUGGGCGGAAGCCUGAUGCAGCAACGCCGCGUGCGGGAUGACGGCCUUCGGGGUGUAAACCGCUUUCGCCUGUGACGAAGCGUGAGUGACGGUAAUGGGUAAAGAAGCACCGGCUAACUACGUG